RNAcentral lists this ribosomal RNA (486 nucleotides) under uncultured bacterium. RNAcentral's name for it is "partial 16S ribosomal RNA". It matches the Rfam family "Bacterial small subunit ribosomal RNA", at positions 28 to 507 of the family's 1533-position model. The record is from RNAcentral.
GACGAACGCUGGCGGCGUGCUUAACACAUGCAAGUCGAGCGCUGAAGACCUGGCUUUUGUUGGGUUGGGUGAGUGGCGAACGGGUGAGUAACACGUGAGUAACCUGCCCUCUUCAUUGGGAUAACGUCCGGAAACGGGUGCUAAUACUGGAUAUUAACUGGCCUUCGCAUGGGGGAUGGUGGAAAGGUUUCUUCUGGUGGGGGAUGGGGUCGCGGCCUAUCAGUUUGUUGGUGGGGUGAUGGACUACAAAGGCUGUGACGGGUAGCAGGCCUGAGUGGGUGACCGGGCAGAUUGGUACUGGUCUACGCCCCAGAUUAAGUCGGGAGCCAGCAGUCGGGAACAUUGCGCAAGGGCCGAACGCCGGAUGCAGCGACGCCGCGUGAGAGAUGUAGGCCUUUGUGUUGUAACCCUCUUUCGCUCAUGGUCAAGUCGCAACUGUGGCUUGUGUUGACGGUAGUGGGUAAAGAAGCGCCGGCUAACUACGUG